CAAUAGCGUAUAUUAAAGUUGUUGCAGUUAAAAAGCUCGUAGUUGAAUUUCGGGUCCCCGCGCUCGGCGCUUCAUUGUGCCGUCGUGGUGUCCCUCCUCGCCGUAAGGCGUCCUUUACUGUGAAAAAAUUAGGGUGUUCAAAGCAGGCAAUCGCUUGAAUACAUUAGCAUGGAAUAAUAAGAUAGGAUCUUGUCUAUUUUGUUGGUUGCGGACAACGAUAAUGAUUAAUAGGGAUAGUUGGGGGUGUCCGUAUUGAGCUGUCAGAGGUGAAAUUCUUGGAUUUGCUCAAGACGAACUACUGCGAAAGCAUUCACCAAGGAUGUUUUCAUUAA
RNAcentral lists this ribosomal RNA (332 nucleotides) under uncultured eukaryote. Its description in RNAcentral is "partial 18S ribosomal RNA". It matches the Rfam family "Eukaryotic small subunit ribosomal RNA", at positions 592 to 976 of the family's 1831-position model. The record is from RNAcentral.